UGGGGGAUAUUGCACAAUGGGCGAAAGCCUGAUGCAGCGACGCCGCGUGGGGGAUGAAGGCCUUCGGGUUGUAAACUUCUUUUGCUCUGAACAAGGCAUGCCUUUGGGGUGUGUUGAGUGUAGGGGUUGAUUAGCGCCGGCUAACUACGUGCCAGCAGCCGCGGUAAUACGUAGGGCGCGAGCGUUGUCCGGAAUUAUUGGGCGUAAAGGGCUUGUAGGUGGCUGGUUGCGUCUGUCGUGAAAGCUCAUGGCUUAACUGUGGGUUUGCGGUGGGUACGGGCUGGCUUGAGUGCAGUAGGGGAGGCUGGAAUUCCUGGUGUAGCGGUGGAAUGCGCAGAUAUCAGGGGGAAUACCGGUGGCGAAGGGGGGUCUCUGGGCUGUUACUGACGCUGAGGAGCGAAAGCGUGGGGAGCGAACAGG
This 420-nucleotide ribosomal RNA is filed under the name Fusobacteriota bacterium. RNAcentral describes it as "Fusobacteria bacterium partial 16S ribosomal RNA". It matches the Rfam family "Bacterial small subunit ribosomal RNA", at positions 355 to 776 of the family's 1533-position model. The record is from RNAcentral. Lineage: Bacteria; Fusobacteriati; Fusobacteriota.